AUCUGCCCUGCACUCUGGGACAAGCCCUGGAAACGGGGUCUAAUACCGGAUACGACACAUCACUGCAUGGUGAAUGUGUGGAAAGCUCCGGCGGUGCAGGAUGAGUCCGCGGCCUAUCAGCUUGUUGGUGGGGUAAUGGCCUACCAAGGAGACGACGGGUAGCCGGCCUGAGAGGGCGACCGGCCACACUGGGACUGAGACACGGCCCAGACUCCUACGGGAGGCAGCAGUGGGGAAUAUUGCACAAUGGGCGAAAGCCUGAUGCAGCGACGCCGCGUGAGGGAUGACGGCCUUCGGGUUGUAAACCUCUUUCAGCAGGGAAGAAGCGCAAGUGACGGUACCUGCAGAAGAAGCACCGGCUAACUACGUGCCAGCAGCCGCGGUAAUACGUAGGGUGCGAGCGUUGUCCGGAAUUAUUGGGCGUAAAGAGCUCGUAGGCGGCUUGUCACGUCGGAUGUGAAAGCCCGGGGCUUAACCCCGGGUCUGCAUUCGAUACGGGCAGGCUAGAGUUCGGUAGGGGAGAUCGGAAUUCCUGGUGUAGCGGUGAAAUGCGCAGAUAUCAGGAGGAACACCGGUGGCGAAGGCGGAUCUCUGGGCCGAUACUGACGCUGAGGAGCGAAAGCGUGGGGAGCGAACAGGAUUAGAUACCCUGGUAGUCCACGCCGUAGACGUUGGGAACUAGGUGUGGGCGACAUUCCACGUCGUCCGUGCCGCAGCUAACGCAUUAAGUUCCCCGCCUGGUGAGUACGGCCGCAAGGCUAAAACUCAAAGGAAUUGACGGGUGCCCGCACAAGCGGCGGAGCAUGUGGCUUAAUUCGACGC
RNAcentral lists this ribosomal RNA (822 nucleotides) under Streptomyces sp. RNAcentral describes it as "bacterial SSU rRNA". It matches the Rfam family "Bacterial small subunit ribosomal RNA", at positions 124 to 957 of the family's 1533-position model. Lineage: Bacteria; Bacillati; Actinomycetota; Actinomycetes; Kitasatosporales; Streptomycetaceae. The record is from RNAcentral.